Saccostrea cuccullata (small rock oyster) is the source of this 192-nucleotide long non-coding RNA. RefSeq lists it as uncharacterized. NCBI's taxonomy places the organism in Eukaryota, Metazoa, Mollusca, Bivalvia, Ostreida, Ostreidae. The transcript is spliced from 3 exons. The record is from RefSeq and is a predicted model, not a curated record.
UACCAAAACAACAUUACUGCAAUGAAUGAAAACACAUUUACUGGUUUGAAAAGCUUAAAGCUUAUGUUUCUAUCUCGCAACAGCAUAACCACAAUAGAGGAUAACACGUUCAAUGAUCUGACAAACUUAGAGAAACUGUAUCUAAUCGGCAACAGCAUAACCACAAUAGAGGAUAAAGCGUUCAAUAAUCUA